Molecule: ribosomal RNA, 1008 nt
Filed under: bacterium
Lineage: Bacteria
Description: bacterial SSU rRNA
Rfam family: Bacterial small subunit ribosomal RNA
Source: RNAcentral
AGGCCCUUCGGGGUACUCGAGUGGCGAACGGGUGAGUAACACGUGGGUGAUCUGCCCUGCACUUUGGGAUAAGCCUGGGAAACUGGGUCUAAUACCGAAUACACCUUGCUGGAUGCAUGUCUGGUGGGGGAAAGCUUUUGCGGUGUGGGAUGGGCCCGCGGCCUAUCAGCUUGUUGGUGAGGUUACGGCUCACCAAGGCGACGACGGGUAGCCGGCCUGAGAGGGUGUCCGGCCACACUGGGACUGAGAUACGGCCCAGACUCCUACGGGAGGCAGCAGUGGGGAAUAUUGCACAAUGGGCGCAAGCCUGAUGCAGCGACGCCGCGUGAGGGAUGACGGCCUUCGGGUUGUAAACCUCUUUCGCCAGGGACGAAGCGCAAGUGACGGUACCUGGAGAAGAAGCACCGGCCAACUACGUGCCAGCAGCCGCGGUAAUACGUAGGGUGCGAGCGUUGUCCGGAAUUACUGGGCGUAAAGAGCUCGUAGGUGGUUUGUCGCGUUGUUCGUGAAAACUCACAGCUUAACUGUGGGCGUGCGGGCGAUACGGGCAGACUGGAGUACUGCAGGGGAGACUGGAAUUCCUGGUGUAGCGGUGGAAUGCGCAGAUAUCAGGAGGAACACCGGUGGCGAAGGCGGGUCUCUGGGCAGUAACUGACGCUGAGGAGCGAAAGCGUGGGGAGCGAACAGGAUUAGAUACCCUGGUAGUCCACGCCGUAAACGGUGGGUACUAGGUGUGGGUUUCCUUCCUUGGGAUCCGUGCCGUAGCUAACGCAUUAAGUACCCCGCCUGGGGAGUACGGCCGCAAGGCUAAAACUCAAAGAAAUUGACGGGGGCCCGCACAAGCGGCGGAGCAUGUGGAUUAAUUCGAUGCAACGCGAAGAACCUUACCUGGGUUUGACAUGCACAGGACGCUGGUAGAGAUAUCAGUUCCCUUGUGGCCUGUGUGCAGGUGGUGCAUGGCUGUCGUCAGCUCGUGUCGUGAGAUGUUGGGGUUAAGUCCCGCAACGA